GUCAAAGCGUUCAUUAAAGUCGAGUUGGCUUAGGGAUACGUUCGUUGGGUAGGGGAGCGUUCUGUAAGCCUGUGAAGGUGUGUCGUGAGGCAUGCUGGAGGUAUCAGAAGUGCGAAUGCUGACAUAAGUAACGAUAAAGCGGGUGAAAAGCCCGCUCGCCGGAAGACCAAGGGUUCCUGUCCAACGUUAAUCGGGGCAGGGUGAGUCGACCCCUAAGGCGAGGCCGAAAGGCGUAGUCGAUGGGAAACGGGUUAAUAUUCCCGUACUUGGUGUUACUGCGAAGGGGGGACGGAGAAGGCUAUGUUGGCCGGGCGACGGUUGUCCCGGUUUAAGCGUGUAGGUGUGUGUUCCAGGUAAAUCCGGUUCACUUUAACACUGAGGCGUGACGACGAGGCACUACGGUGCUGAAGCAACAAAUGCCCUGCUUCCAGGAAAAGCCUCUAAGCAUCAGGUAACAUCAAAUCGUACCCCAAACCGACACAGGUGGUCAGGUAGAGAAUACCAAGGCGCUUGAGAGAACUCGGGUGAAGGAACUAGGCAAAAUGGUGCCGUAACUUCGGGAGAAGGCACGCUGACACGUAGGUGAAGUGAUUUACUCA
RNAcentral lists this ribosomal RNA (599 nucleotides) under Salmonella enterica. RNAcentral describes it as "partial 23S ribosomal RNA". It matches the Rfam family "Bacterial large subunit ribosomal RNA", at positions 1181 to 1773 of the family's 2925-position model. Lineage: Bacteria; Pseudomonadati; Pseudomonadota; Gammaproteobacteria; Enterobacterales; Enterobacteriaceae. The record is from RNAcentral. RNAcentral also lists the same sequence under 1 other name.